Molecule: ribosomal RNA, 380 nt
Filed under: uncultured eukaryote
Lineage: Eukaryota
Description: partial 18S ribosomal RNA
Rfam family: Eukaryotic small subunit ribosomal RNA
Source: RNAcentral
CAAUAGCGUAUAUUAAAGUUGUUGCAGUUAGAACGCUCGUAGUCGGAUUUCGGGGCGGGGCGACCGGUCUGCCGAUGGGUAUGCACUGGUCGGCGCGUCCUUCCUUCCGGAGACCGUUCCUACUCUUAACUGAGCGGGGGCGGGAGACGGAUCGUUUACUUUGAAAAAAUCAGAGUGUUUCAAGCAGGCAGCUCGCUCUUGCAUGGAUUAGCAUGGGAUAAUGAAAUAGGACUUUGGUGCUAUUUUGUUGGUCUCGAACACCGAAGUAAUGAUUAAAAGGGACAGUCAGGGGCACUCGUAUUCCGCCGAGAGAGGUGAAAUUCUCAGACCAGCGGAAGACGAACCACUGCGAAAGCAUUUGCCAGGGAUGUUUUCACUGA